CCAAUAGCGUAUAUUAAAGUUGUUGCAGUUAAAAAGCUCGUAGUUGAAUUUCGGGGUCAGUAGGUUGGUCGUGCCACCGGUACGUACUGGUCUCACUGAUUCCUCCUUCCUGAUGAGCUGUAAUGCCAUUAAUUUGGUGUUGCAGGGAAUCUGGACUGUUACUUUGAAAAAAUUAGAGUGUUUAAAGCAGGCUAACGCUUGAAUACAUUAGCAUGGAAUAAUGAAAUAGGACGUUCGAUCCUAUUUUGUUGGUUUCUAGGAUUGACGUAAUGAUUAAUAGGGAUAGUUGGGGGCAUUAGUAUUCAAUUGUCAGAGGUGAAAUUCUUGGAUUUAUUGAAGACUAACUACUGCGAAAGCAUUUGCCAAGGAUGUUUUCAUUAAUCAAGAACGAAAGUUAGGUGAUCGAAGACGAUCAGAUACCGUCGUAGUCUUAACCAUAAACUAUGCCGACUAGGGAUCGGAUGAUGUUAAUUUUUUAAUGACUCAUUCGGCGCCUUACG
This 500-nucleotide ribosomal RNA is filed under the name uncultured Glomeromycotina. RNAcentral describes it as "partial small subunit ribosomal RNA". It matches the Rfam family "Eukaryotic small subunit ribosomal RNA", at positions 591 to 1092 of the family's 1831-position model. The record is from RNAcentral. Lineage: Eukaryota; Fungi; Glomeromycota.